UUCUUCGGCUGCAUGAGUAGCUUUGCCUGUCCCAGCUGGCUAGGCUUCUGCAGGCAACCUUUGCAGCAAGGUUCAUCUUACUAUAGAACCAUGACAGGUAUAUUCUAAAUCUUUUCCCACCUUACCAACUCCAUGUAGCCACCAGCAGAGUGUUAAGCUUUCAAAUUUUAUGGCACACACAAUAAAAGAUGGUUAGAAAGACCAAUUCUGACUAACCAUGAGUGGCUCAACCAGAGAAUGAGGGCUUUUCCAAAGCAAGCAGGACCCAGUUUUCUAAAGUUGGGACUGAAAAUAUUCUGUGUAUAUGUACACACCUGAUUUUGUGACUUUAUUUUCAAAAAUGAAAUUAUUUCAACUAGCUGUUUUGUGGUAUUACCCAUAGUAUUUAACCAUUCUGUUCAUGCAGCUAAUUUCAAGAAUAUGCUAAAUUGUCUAAACUUAAAUAUCCAUGAGAAUGCUAAAGUGGAACCAUGAGUAAUGAUUAGGCAAAUCUGUUUCACCUGCCCUCACUAAUCAAGGUGAUUUUAAGAAUUGCAUGUCCUCCAAGCAGCACAUAGCCUGAACAAUAAGAUGUGGGCGGGAGUUGUUUUCCAGGAACUCUAAGUCAGCUGAUCUAGUUUGAGUUGAGCUGGUUAAGAGUAGAUAGGACAACUGACUCUCCAACUAGAUAUCACCUGGUGGGAUUUUGACCCUUCUGGCCAGAUCAUGGUUUGCAGGCCUACCCAGAAGAAUUUUGGCAGACUGUAGAAGUUUACAGUUCCUCAGGGACCAGAUUCAGGAGAAAAGGGGACAACAGAGAAUAAACCACAGGCUACUCCACUGGCAGCUGCCUUAACAUGGGAAAGAGCUGGACCAAGUUGAAGACUCACAGGAGGAACUCAUCAAAUGGUGAACAGCAAAGUGAUUCCUGUGUAUCUGAAUCUGUCCUCUUGACUCCCAGCCAAGUGAUCUUUCCAAAUGGCCAUCUUUCCCAGAGGUUGUUCCUAAAGACUGCUAACAGUUAAGGAGAAAAGUCAUGAACCCUUCCCAUGAAAAAGAUGCAGACAUCAGCAUUAAUUCUCCAAGCGUGAGUAAAUUUUGCAAGAAAAAAAAUUUCAACCAUUUCCUUCUUGUAUAUAUAUAUAUAUAUUUCCU
Molecule: non-coding RNA, 1134 nt
Organism: Sus scrofa (pig)
Lineage: Eukaryota; Metazoa; Chordata; Mammalia; Artiodactyla; Suidae
Source: RefSeq, a predicted model, not a curated record